CGCGUAGGCGGUUUGUCAAGUCCCGUGUGAAAGCCCUCGGCUCAACCGAGGAACGGCGCGGGAAACUAGCAGGCUUGAGUUCGGGAGAGGGAAGCGGAAUUCCGGGUGUAGCGGUGAAAUGCGCAGAUAUCCGGAGGAACACCGGUGGCGAAGGCGGCUUCCUGGACCGACACUGACGCUGAGGCGCGAAAGCUAGGGGAGCAAACGGGAUUAGAUACCCCGGUAGUCCUAGCCCUAAACGAUGAGCACUGGGUGUAGAGGGUAUGAACCCCUUCUGUGCCGAAGCUAACGCAUUAAGUGCUCCGCCUGGGGAGUACGGUCGCAAGGCUGAA
This 332-nucleotide ribosomal RNA is filed under the name uncultured bacterium. RNAcentral's name for it is "bacterial SSU rRNA". It matches the Rfam family "Bacterial small subunit ribosomal RNA", at positions 568 to 898 of the family's 1533-position model. The record is from RNAcentral.